AGCCAAUAGAUACCCGGGUAGUCCACGCCCUAAACGAUGUCUACUAGUUGUUGGUGGAGUAAAAUCCAUGAGUAAACGCAGCUAAACGCGUGAAGUAGACCGCCUGGGGAGUACGGUCGCAAGAUUAAAACUCAAAGGAAUUGACGGGGGCCCGGCACAAGCGGUGGAUUAUGUGGAUUAAAUUNCGAUGCAACGCGAAAAACCUUACCUGGCCUUGACAUGCCACUAACGAAGCAGAGAUGCAUUAGGUGCCCGUAAGGGAAAGUGGACACAGGUGCUGCAUGGCUGUCGUCAGCUCGUGUCGUGAGAUGUUGGGUUAAGUCCCGCAACGAGCGCAACCCUUGCCAUUAAUUGCCAUCAUUUAGUUGGGCACUUUAAUGGGACUGCCGGUGACAAACCGGAGGAAGGUGGGGAUGACGUCAAGUCCUCAUGGCCCUUAUGGCCAGGGCUUCACACGUAAUACAAUGGUCGGUACAGAGAGUUGCCAACCCGCGAGGGGAGCUAAUCUCAGAAAGCCGAUCGUAGUCCGGAUUGUUCUCU
Molecule: ribosomal RNA, 540 nt
Filed under: uncultured bacterium
Lineage: Bacteria
Description: bacterial SSU rRNA
Rfam family: Bacterial small subunit ribosomal RNA
Source: RNAcentral